CGACCUCAUUUCAGGAGGGAUUACCCACUGAGUUUAUGCAUAUCAAUAAGUGAAGGAAAAAAAACUUACAAGGAUUCCCUUAGUAACGGCGAGCGAAAAAAGAAUAGCCCAGCCUUAGAAUCGGGCGGCUUCGCCACCCUAAUUGUAGUCUGUAGAAGCGUGCUCAUCGGCGGACCAAGACCAAGUUCUUUGGAAGGGGGCGCCAAAGAAUGUGAGAGCCCCAUUGUGCCCAGACCCUAUCACACCAUGAGAUGCUAUCUACGAGUUGGGUUGUUUGGUAAUGCAACACAAAUAGGGCGAUGAAUUCCGUCCAAGGCUAAAUACAAGCGAGAGACCGAUAGCAAACCAGUACCGCGAGGGAAAGAUGAAAAGAACUUUGAAAAUAGAGUCAAAAAGUGCUUGAAAUUGUCAGGAGGAAAGUCGAUGGGGGCCAGAGAUGCACCUCGAUCAGAUGUAGAACAACGACAACCUGGUCUGCCGAUCGACUUGGGGUGUAAACCAGCGUGGAUUGUGGGGUACCAAAGCCAAGGCUCUCGAUAUGCUAAAAGAAUUCUGUCUAUUUGAUUAUGGUUAGCAGCGCUCUCCUCUGGUGUGCUUCGACAUCUUCACACUCCGAAUGCUGGUCAGUAGGCUCCACAUUCGACCAGUCUUGAAACACAAACCUAGGAGUCUAACAUGUGUGCGAGUCAACAGGCGAGUAAACACGUAAGGCAUAAGGAAACUGAUUGGUUUAAUCCCCUUGAAGGGUGCACCGCCGACCGACCUUGAUCUUAUGAGAAGGGUUUGAGUGUGAGCAUACCUAUUGGGACCCGAAAUAUGGUGAACUAUGCCUGAGCGGGACAAAGCCAGAGAAAACUCUGGUGGUGGUGUGUACCGAUACUGACAUACAAAUAAUUUUUCUGACUUGGGCAUAGGGGCGAAAGACUAAUUGAACUGUCUAGUAGAUGGUUCUCUCCGAAGUUUCCCUCAGGAUAGUUGGAGAUCUCAUGCAAGUUCUAUCGGGUAAACCCAAUGAUUAGAGGCAUCAGUGGCACAACACCCUCGACUUAUUCUCAAACUUUAAAAAGGUAGGAUGACACGACGGCUUUGUUGAGCCGUGCCACAAAAUCAAGAGCUCCAAGUAGGCUAUAUUUGGUAAGAAGAACCAGUGAUACGGGAUGAACUGGAAGUCUAGUUACGGUAUGAAACUGUGCGCUAACCUAGAUCCCACAAAGGGUGUUGGUCAAUUAAGGCAAUAGGAUGGUGGUCAUGGAAGUUGAAAUACGCUAUGGAUUGUGUAACAACUCACCUGCCGUAUCAACUAGCCCCAAAAAUGAAUGGCACAUAAGCGCGUGACCUACACCCAGCCAUCGGGCCAAGUGCUAUGUCCCGAUGAGUAAGAGGGAAUGACGGUCACCACAAAACCUUGGGCGCGAGCCCGGGCGCGAACAGUUGUCAGUGCAGAUCUUGGUGGUAGUAACAAAUAUUAAAAUGAGAAAUUUGAAGGUCGAAGAAGGGAAAGGUUCCAUGUUCACGACACUUGCACAUGGUUUAGUCGAUCCUAAGGGUUGGGGGAACCCUGAUAGAUAACACAUUAUGCAUAUACUCUGAAAGGGAAUCAGGUUAAAAUUUCUGAACCGGGACAUGGCGGUCGACGAUAAUGUUAGGAAGUCCAGAGACAUUGGUGGAAGCCUCGGGAAGAGUUAUAUUUUCUUUUUAACAGUCUUCCCACCCUGGAAUCGGCUCAGCCAGAGGUAGGGUCUAGCGGCUGGAAGAGAACCACACGUCGUGUGGUGUCUGGUGUGCUCCCGACGGCUCUUGAAAAUCUGGAGAACCAAAUAUCGUCUAUGUCUGGUCGUACUCAUAACUGCAUCAAGUCUCUAAGGUGAACAACCUCUGGUCGAUGGAAUAAUGUAGGCAAGAAUAGUCAGUAAAAUGGAUCCAUAACUUUGGGAAAAGAAUUAGAUGUGAGGGAUAGUCACAGUGGUCCCAGUCCAAAACCCAUCGGUUGUCAGUGGACUACUUGAGCUACUCCCACAGUGAGAGAAGGUUACCACGGGAUGACCGGGGGACGAACUGGGAAUGGUUCCUUUAGGUGACUUCCCCGCGCAUCGAACAGCUAACUUAGAACUAGUUCAAACAAGGGAAAUCCAACCGUUUAAUUAAAACAAAGCAUUGUGAUGGUCCUAAAGAAUGUUCAUGCAAUGUGAUAUCUUCCCAGUGCUCUGAAUGUCAAAGUGAAGAAAUUCAACCAAGCACAGGUUAACAGGGAGAGUAACUAUGACUCUCUUAAGGCUGCCAAAUGCCUCUUCAUGUAAUUAGUGACACACAUGAAUAGAUUAACGAGAUUCCCACUGUCCCUGUCUACAGUCCAGCAAAACCACAACAAAGGGAAUAGGUUUGGCAGAAUCAGCGGGGAAAGAAGACCCUAUUGAUCUUGACUCUAGUUUGACUUUGUGAAAUGUCUUGAGAGGUGUAGUAUAAGUGGGAGCCGAAAGGCGAAAGUGAGAUACCACUACUUUUAACAUUAUUUUUCUUAUUCUAUGAAUCGAAAAUCGGGCACUGCCCCUCUUUUUGGACCUAAGGCUUACUUUGCGGGCCGAUCAGGGUGAAAAACAUUGUCAGGUAGGGAGUUUAUUGGGGAGGUACAUCUAUUAAAAGAAAACAUAGGUGUCCUAAGAUGAGCUCAACGAGAACAAAAAUCUCAUAUGUAAUAGAAGGUUAAAAGGUCAUUUGAUUCUAAUUUCUAGUACGAAUACGAACCGUGAAAGUGUGGUCUAACGAUCCUUUAGAUCGGUUAAAUUUAAAGCUAGACGUGUCAGAAAAGUUACCACAGGGAUAACUGGCUUGUGGCAGCCAAACGUUCAUAGAGAUAUUGCUUUUUGAUCCUUCGAUGUUGGCUCUUCCUAUCAUUGUAAUGCAGAAUUCACCAAGUGUUGGAUUGUUCACCAUCCAAUAGAGAAUGUGAGCUGGGUUUAGACCAUCGUGAUAAAGGUUAAUUUUACCCUACUAAUGACAGUGUCACAAUAGUAAUUCAACAUAGUAUGAGAGGAACUAUUGAUUCACAUAAUUGGUCAUCACAUUUGGUUGAAAAGCCAAUGGCACGAAGCUACUAUGUGCUGGAUUAUGACUGAACACCUCUAAGUCAAAAUUUGGGCUAGAAGAGAUAUAUGCACCCGUCGUUUGCUUCUCGAACCAUAUCAAGGACCUCGACCUCAAAGGGAACGUGUUGUUGGCUAAGCCAUCGCGGUAGAAGGGUCGUAGUGUCCUCCUUGAAGUACAAUUUCCAUCGAGUAGUGGGUAGUAUUCUUUGCAGAUAACAUAAUUACACAAUGGGUGAUUAUAAGUGCCAGAGUGGCCUUACUGUAAUGAUCCAGUGAGAUUCAUCCCUUUGUCACUCUGGUUCGU
Non-coding RNA from Capsicum annuum, 3387 nucleotides. NCBI's taxonomy places the organism in Eukaryota, Viridiplantae, Streptophyta, Magnoliopsida, Solanales, Solanaceae. The record is from Rfam.